RNAcentral lists this ribosomal RNA (422 nucleotides) under uncultured prokaryote. RNAcentral's name for it is "bacterial SSU rRNA". It matches the Rfam family "Bacterial small subunit ribosomal RNA", at positions 355 to 774 of the family's 1533-position model. The record is from RNAcentral.
UGAGGAAUAUUGGUCAAUGGGCGUAAGCCUGAACCAGCCAAGUCGCGUGAGGGAUGAAGGUUCUAUGGAUCGUAAACCUCUUUUAUAAGGGAAUAAAGUGUGGGACGUGUCCUAUUUUGUAUGUACCUUAUGAAUAAGGAUCGGCUAACUCCGUGCCAGCAGCCGCGGUAAUACGGAGGAUCCGAGCGUUAUCCGGAGUUAUUGGGUUUAAAGGGUGCGUAGGCGGCCUUUUAAGUCAGCGGUGAAAGUCUGUGGCUCAACCAUAGAAUUGCCGUUGAAACUGGGGGGCUUGAGUAUGUUUGAGGCAGGCGGAAUGCGUGGUGUAGCGGUGAAAUGCUGAGAUAUCACGCAGAACCCCGAUUGCGAAGGCAGCCUGCCAAGCCAUGACUGACGCUGAUGCACGAAAGCGUGGGGAUCAAACA